Molecule: ribosomal RNA, 496 nt
Filed under: uncultured bacterium
Lineage: Bacteria
Description: partial 16S ribosomal RNA
Rfam family: Bacterial small subunit ribosomal RNA
Source: RNAcentral
AUGAACGCUGGCGGCGUGCCUAAUACAUGCAAGUCGAGCGAACAGACGAGGAGCUUGCUCCUCUGACGUUAGCGGCGGACGGGUGAGUAACACGUGGAUAACCUACCUAUAAGACUGGGAUAACUUCGGGAAACCGGAGCUAAUACCGGAUAAUAUAUUGAACCGCAUGGUUCAAUAGUGAAAGACGGUUUUGCUGUCACUUAUAGAUGGAUCCGCGCCGCAUUAGCUAGUUGGUAAGGUAACGGCUUACCAAGGCAACGAUGCGUAGCCGACCUGAGAGGGUGAUCGGCCACACUGGAACUGAGACACGGUCCAGACUCCUACGGGAGGCAGCAGUAGGGAAUCCUCCGCAAUGGGCGAAAGCUUGACGGAGCAACGCCGCGUGAGUGAUGAAGGUCUUCGGAUCGUAAAACUCUGUUAUUAGGGAAGAACAAAUGUGUAAGUAACUAUGCACGUCUUGACGGUACCUAAUCAGAAAGCCACGGCUAACUACGUG